UACAGAGGGGGCAAGCGUUGUUCGGAAUUACUGGGCGUAAAGGGCGCGUAGGCGGCCUUCUAAGUCGAACGUGAAAUCCCUGGGCUCAACCCAGGAACUGCGUCCGAUACUGGGAGGCUUGAAUCCGGGAGAGGGAUGCGGAAUUCCAGGUGUAGCGGUGAAAUGCGUAGAUAUCUGGAGGAAUACCGGUGGCGAAGGCGGCAUCCUGGACCGGCAUUGACGCUGAGGCGCGAAAGCCAGGGGAGCAAACGGG
RNAcentral lists this ribosomal RNA (253 nucleotides) under uncultured bacterium. Its description in RNAcentral is "partial 16S ribosomal RNA". It matches the Rfam family "Bacterial small subunit ribosomal RNA", at positions 524 to 776 of the family's 1533-position model. The record is from RNAcentral.